GGCAGGAUAGCUCAGGGGUAGAGCAGAGGACUCAUAAGCCUUUGGUCGGCGGUUCAAAUCCGCCUCCUGCUACCA
Molecule: transfer RNA, 75 nt
Filed under: Verrucomicrobiota bacterium
Lineage: Bacteria; Pseudomonadati; Verrucomicrobiota
Also listed under: 4 other names
Description: tRNA-Met
Rfam family: tRNA
About the family: Transfer RNA (tRNA) molecules are approximately 80 nucleotides in length. Their secondary structure includes four short double-helical elements and three loops (D, anti-codon, and T loops).
Source: RNAcentral